Molecule: small nucleolar RNA, 82 nt
Filed under: Carlito syrichta (Philippine tarsier)
Lineage: Eukaryota; Metazoa; Chordata; Mammalia; Primates; Tarsiidae
Description: Small nucleolar RNA SNORD115 (ENSTSYG00000032868.1)
Rfam family: Small nucleolar RNA SNORD115
About the family: HBII-52 is a member of the C/D class of snoRNAs, which contain the C (UGAUGA) and D (CUGA) box motifs. HBII-52 is encoded in a tandemly repeated array with another C/D snoRNA, HBII-85, in the Prader-Willi syndrome (PWS) region of chromosome 15.
Source: Rfam by way of RNAcentral
GGGUCAAUGAUGAAAUAUUUGCCUUGUAUCUAGAGAGCUGUUGUCUUAAAAGUCAUGCUCAGUAAAUUCAUGCUGAGGACUC